AGAGUUUGAUCCUGGCUCAGGAUGAACGCUAGCGGCAGGCCUAAUACAUGCAAGUCGAACGGGUUUGAGUAGCAAUACUCAAAUCAGUGGCGCACGGGUGCGUAACGCGUAUGCAACCUACCUUAAACUGGGGGAUAGCCUUCCGAAAGGGAGAUUAAUACCGCAUAAUACUAUUUGAUGGCAUCUGAAGAUAGUUAAAGAUUUAUUGGUUUAAGAUGGGCAUGCGUGCCAUUAGCUAGUUGGUAAGGUAACGGCUUACCAAGGCUACGAUGGCUAGGGGUUCUGAGAGGAUGAUCCCCCACACUGGUACUGAGAUACGGACCAGACUCCUACGGGAGGCAGCAGUAGGGAAUAUUGGGCAAUGGACGCAAGUCUGACCCAGCCAUGCCGCGUGCAGGAUGAAGGCCUUCUGGGUUGUAAACUGCUUUUAUCUGGGAAGAAAACACCUAUGCGUAGGAACCUGACGGUACCAGAUGAAUAAGCACCGGCUAACUCCGUGCCAGCAGCCGCGGUAAUACGGAGGGUGCAAGCGUUGUCCGGAUUUAUUGGGUUUAAAGGGUGCGUAGGCGGCCCGUUAAGUCAGUGGUGAAAGCCUCCAGCUCAACUGGAGAACUGCCAUUGAUACUGACGGGCUUGAGUACAGACGAGGUUGGCGGAAUUGAUUGUGUAGCGGUGAAAUGCAUAGAUACAAUCAAGAACUCCGAUUGCGUAGGCAGCUAACUAGGCUGUAACUGACGCUGAGGCACGAAAGCGUGGGGAGCGAACAGGAUUAGAUACCCUGGUAGUCG
RNAcentral lists this ribosomal RNA (788 nucleotides) under uncultured bacterium. RNAcentral describes it as "bacterial SSU rRNA". It matches the Rfam family "Bacterial small subunit ribosomal RNA", at positions 8 to 796 of the family's 1533-position model. The record is from RNAcentral.